Molecule: ribosomal RNA, 253 nt
Filed under: uncultured bacterium
Lineage: Bacteria
Description: partial 16S ribosomal RNA
Rfam family: Bacterial small subunit ribosomal RNA
Source: RNAcentral
GACGAAGGCGGCGAGCGUCACUCGGAAUUACUAGGCGUAAAGCGUGGGCAGGCGGUUCGGCAAGUCUGUUGUGAAAGCUCCCGGCUUAACCGGGAGAGGCCAAUGGAUACUACCGGACUUGAAUGUGGGAGAGGUCACUGGAAUUCCCGGUGUAGCGGUGAAAUGCGUAGAGAUCGGGAGGAACACCAAUGGCGAAAGCAGGUGACUGGACCACUAUUGACGCUCAUCCACGAAAGCUAGGGGAGCAAACAGG